CAGAUAGCGAGACUUACUACCUGUUCAAAGAAUGUGAAGAGGGAAAAAGAGUUGAGGUUUCCAUAGUAACCUUUAGUAGUUCAAAGUAAAAUUGCAUAAAAUGAAAUCAUUAUCACUCAGCAACUAAGGAAGACAGCUCAGCUGAUGAAGAUGCCAAGUUGUAAAUGACUACCGGCAUCAAAAUACAACUAAAAUUUAUGAGACAAAAUUGGAUAAAAGCAAAAAAAGACUUGGGUGCUCAUAGCAGGUUUUCCUUGCUGUCACCACAGCUAUGUCAAACCAAAACAAACACCAUCUACAAGAUGACAUUUGAAAUGGGAUUUUUUUUUUCAGUGCUUGACAUGAAUUGGAGGAAUAAGAAUACCGUUCCUCUUAAAGCUUCAGACGUAAUGCAUUGAUCUUUGUCACCUUUUCUACAGCUGAAUAUUUCCCUACACAUAGAAGAGUCUCACAGGAACUGAUGCAACUGUUUUCAGCUAAGUAUAGUUUAUGUUAUGCCAUGAAAAACAAGGUCUACCACUCUAUGAGUAACUUUACAC
RNAcentral lists this long non-coding RNA (539 nucleotides) under Cyanistes caeruleus (blue tit). Its description in RNAcentral is "lncRNA (ENSCCEG00000003311.1)". The record is from RNAcentral. Lineage: Eukaryota; Metazoa; Chordata; Aves; Passeriformes; Paridae.